GAUGAACGCUGGCGGUAUGCUUAACACAUGCAAGUCGAACGGACUCUUCGGAGUUAGUGGCGGACGGGUGAGUAACGCGUGAGAAUCUGGCUUUGGGUUCGGGACAACCACUGGAAACGGUGGCUAAUACCGGAUGUGCCGAGAGGUAAAAGAGAAAUUGCCUGAAGAUGAGCUCGCGUCUGAUUAGCUAGUUGGUGAGGUAAAGGCUCACCAAGGCAGCGUUCAGUAGCUGGUCUGAGAGGAUGACCAGCCACACUGGGACUGAGACACGGCCCAGACUCCUACGGGAGGCAGCAGUGGGGAAUUUUCCGCAAUGGGCGAAAGCCUGACGGAGCAAUACCGCGUGAGGGAAGAAGGCUCUUGGGUUGUAAACCUCUUUUCUUAGGGAAGAACAAAAUGACGGUACCUAAGGAAUCAGCAUCGGCUAACUCCGUG
This 435-nucleotide ribosomal RNA is filed under the name uncultured bacterium. RNAcentral describes it as "partial 16S ribosomal RNA". It matches the Rfam family "Bacterial small subunit ribosomal RNA", at positions 28 to 507 of the family's 1533-position model. The record is from RNAcentral.